UACAGAGGAUGCAAGCGUUAUCCGGAAUGAUUGGGCGUAAAGCGUCUGUAGGUGGCUUUUUAAGUCCGCCGUCAAAUCCCAGGGCUCAACUCUGGACAGGCGGUGGAAACUACCAAGCUGGAGUACGGUAGGGGCAGAGGGAAUUUCCGGUGGAGCGGUGAAAUGCGUAGAUAUCAGGAGGAAUACCGAUGGCGAAGGCAGGUCUCUGGGCUGACACUGACGCUCAUGCACGAAAGCGUGGGGAGCAAACAGG
This 253-nucleotide ribosomal RNA is filed under the name uncultured bacterium. RNAcentral's name for it is "partial 16S ribosomal RNA". It matches the Rfam family "Bacterial small subunit ribosomal RNA", at positions 524 to 776 of the family's 1533-position model. The record is from RNAcentral.